CGCUGCUCUACUACCGAGCGCGAUAAUAUCAGCCUCGGGCCUUGGAACUUGUCUUGUUUACCAAGCAAAGACGACUCGACAGUGCGAUCGAGCGGAAACAGCUGAACAACGGUGUAAGAGGGUUGCUGAACGUCAAUUUACCGUGCCAGAAGGUUUCGCUCCCCUUUUGUACAACCUAACCCAGGGCCUAAUCUACCUCAAGUGAUGCACGUUAAGAACAAAAUCGAUCGUUCCCGCACGCGUGCGUGCGACCACGCACAGAUUUUUUCUUCGAGACGCAGAAGAACAACAACAUACUAAUGUGUUUAAUACGCAUGCCACAGAUAAAAAGUUCGUUAAGGCGCCAUGAUGCAUCGCGUUGAGGACGAGUAGAGCAAGAAACUACUAAUAUAAUAUUGCCGAUUUUGCUCUGUCCACAACCCAUCCUGCUCUGUUGCUCGGACGGCGCUCACACUGAACUUCACUUCCCACUAAUAGUAAGUUCGAAUACUUUCCAAUUUUCUUUAUCAAUUUCCGUAAACGUUACGAUCAAGACAAUGAUGUUUUCUCUGACUUUAACUCGAUGGAAAAUUGUUCAAAGGCAAAAUUUCUUCUUUUAGGCAGCGAAGAAACUUGUUCACGUAUACAUACAAAUACAUACAUAUAUAUAUAUUUUUCUACACGUAUGUGUAUGUAUAUACGUAUACACAAAGCAGAUAGAUUGUUAAUCACACGAGAUCUCAAAAGAUAUGUAGAUACAACAGUAAACACGAAUGAUAAUGUCUAAAGGAGUUAAUGAAUUCAGUCUUUUCAUGAGCCACUGAUUUUCCUCUUACAUUCAACUAACGCUACCAACUUGAAUGGCAAACUUUUUUGAAUGAAUUGAUUUUCAAUACGUUCAGUCUUUGUAACCGACUCGAAGACGGCAGAGAGAAAGGGAGAGCGAGGGAAAAAGAUGAUAAAACAGUCUUUGAAGGAAUUCACCGCAACACGGUUCUGUGUCUCCUCGUGACGAAAUCUGUUCUUCCGGAAAAAAUUAGCUAUCGGGGCUCGUUUUGCCCCGGUGGCCGUGGACUUUGUCGUCUCUGGCUACCUGAGCCGAGUCACCCAAUCCAUGUUGCGUUCCUAUUUCCUUCUACCACCCCAUCAUUCGUUAUCUAUCAUCUAUCCCAUGUCCAAAGGAGCCAGCGGUGCAUCCUCCCGAUCUGUCGUCCUAUACAUUCGUUCCCUCGUCACUGGUUGUUGCCCCGGAA
RNAcentral lists this unclassified non-coding RNA (1232 nucleotides) under Megachile rotundata (alfalfa leafcutting bee). Its description in RNAcentral is "uncharacterized LOC105663289, transcript variant X3". The record is from RNAcentral. Lineage: Eukaryota; Metazoa; Arthropoda; Insecta; Hymenoptera; Megachilidae.